Molecule: unclassified non-coding RNA, 282 nt
Filed under: uncultured fungus
Lineage: Eukaryota; Fungi
Description: sequence contains ITS2
Source: RNAcentral
AACGCACAUUGCGCCCGCCAGCAUUCUGGCGGGCAUGCCUGUUCGAGCGUCAUUUCAACCCUCGAGCCCGACUUUUCGAAGGACGGCUCGGCGUUGGGGGACGGCAGACUCCCCCCGGCAUCUCGCCGGGGACGCCGCCCCCGAAAUUUAGUGGCGGCCCUCCGAGGCGACCUCUGCGUAGUAACUUGUUCUCGCACCGGAAAGCUCAGAGCGGCCACGCCGUAAAACCCCAACUUUUUUUAGGUUGACCUCGAAUCAGGUAGGACUACCCGCUGAACUUAA